GGGCAGGUGCGGGCAGAGCUUGGUGCCUGCGGAGGCCGGGCGACGUCGAGGGCCUGCGUGGAGGGAGCCGGUGAGGGCACCGCGUUCAGGCCGCGGCACCCCCCUCUCUGUGCAUAGCUGAAGCAAAAGCCAGAGUUUUGAUUUUAGUGAAGGCUGAAGCCUACUUAUUUUGUCAAGAAGUUGUAAGCGUGAUCGCUGCACUCCUGCCUUCCUUGCAAAGGACACCCCGGAGAGAGCAACAAAUAGAAAAAAAAGAGAGCUUCCCAGCACGAGGAACCCUGGGAUACUUAUCUGCGUGCUUGACCCAGUGCAAAAAUACUGACAGCCAGGCUGUGUUUUGGCCUCAGCAUGGCUCCUGGCUGCCUGGUCUGGGCUAUUUCAGUCUGCGAGGGUACUCUGCAAAGCGGAGAAAAGAAGCCAAGGAUGAAAAGGGAAAUGACUGGUCUACUGUUGCAUUGGGAGGCUGUGCUAGGACACAGAAGAUUCAGAAGCCCGAGAUUCCUAGCACAGGAGGCAAUAACCUCGCACUGUCUCGGAUCAUAUCGUGUCACACUGAAUGUUGACCUUGGCUGACCUUACAUCAUGACAUGCUACAGUUGAAGUAAUGUAACAUGAACCAAUGUAUCAUGCGCUUAAUGUUAAUCUGGAGUUAUCAUCUGUGAACAAGGCAAAAAGUUUGGAAAGUUUGUUGUGUGGAUCUGCCCUGUGUUCCUCGGGCAGUCUCUGAGCUGCACGUGUUCGAGCUAACAACCAAAACCAACAGAGGGGAAGAAGAAGGGCGGAAACCAGACAAGUAUUUCUGUAACAGUUAGUUAUAAAGAUCCUGAUCAGUUUAAUGUGGAUCUGAAGAUAAUCUACUAAAGAGGCUCUAUGCCCCUUGACACCGUAGUAACCAGGGCAGGAGCGCGAGCAGGCAGUGGGAGCGCUCGACAGCAUUCGUUGGACUCUUGGGGUUUUUGGUGUAGAAAGCUUCAUAUAUACGUUUCUGAGUACAUUUGUUGUUGAAUGUAUUGCUGAAUAUAUUUAUUGCUAUUACGCUGGUUAAAAAAAGGGUUAAUGGUAGUGUUGGGCCUUAUGAAGUAAUCAUUUUCGUAAUAUUUACUUUAUUCAUGUGCUUGCUCAGCCUUUUGACCCUCUGUGAAAUUGUACCUAAUAUUAUGAGGGUUUAUCUGUGGGGGUUUUUUUCCUAGAAAGACUUUGAGAUAAUUCUGUGCGCUGUUUUGGAAAAUAAUUUGUAA
This 1238-nucleotide long non-coding RNA is filed under the name Struthio camelus australis. RNAcentral's name for it is "lncRNA (ENSSCUG00000014219.1)". The record is from RNAcentral. Lineage: Eukaryota; Metazoa; Chordata; Aves; Struthioniformes; Struthionidae.